Molecule: RNA transcript, 967 nt
Organism: Enhydra lutris kenyoni (northern sea otter)
Lineage: Eukaryota; Metazoa; Chordata; Mammalia; Carnivora; Mustelidae
Gene name: TATA box-binding protein-associated factor RNA polymerase I subunit D pseudogene
Exons: 1
Source: RefSeq, a predicted model, not a curated record
UGGAGCUCUGUUGGCAUUGUUCAGAGAAACUACAUCACGUUUACUGAAUUGUCAGAAUUCUGAAGCAAAUUACAAGUGGUGAAUAAACAAUUUGGAGAAGGACUUGGGAGAAUAUGUAAUGGGAAUGAAUUUUCUCAACUCUAUAAUGGCAUCUAAUUCAGCUGUGGAAAUUGACAGUGAAAGUGAUAACUCUUCUGGUAGCAGCUUAUUUAAAACUCAGUGUGUCCCUUACUAACCUAAAAGGAUGCAAAGAAACCAUACUAGAAAGUUUGUUCAUUCACCUGAAGUUGCUCAAGCAAGGGAUUCAUCUAGUGACUCAUUUUUCAAACCAAGACCAUUGACUUUAAAAGCUAUUUUUGAGAGAUUCAAAAAAAGAAAACGUAAAAAGAAGAAAUACAAACCAACAGGAAGACCAAGAGGAAGACCAAAAGGGAGAAAAAACAGUAGACUUUCCCAAAUAAAUAAGAAACAAGUUCAAGACAAAGGAUCUGGGUUCCCAUUUUUAGAAUCUGAGAAUGCAAGAAAACCAUUACCUUGGAGAAAGAUUUUAACCUUUGAGCAAGCAGUGGCAAGAGGAUUUUUCAACUACCUUGAAAAACUGAAGUAUAAAUACUACCUCAAGGAAUCCUUGAAACAAAUUAAUGUUGGUGAAGAUUUAGAAAAAGAAGAUUUUGACAGUCAUAGAUACAAAUACUUGGAUGAUGAUGGAGCUCUCUCGCCUAUUGAAGAGUCAGAAACAGAGGAUGGGUCUGCAACAAAUCUUGACCAAAAUGACGAAUGUGAUAUCAAAUUGGUGGACCAAAAUGAUUUCAUUAUAAGUUCUCAAGUACCAAAGAUGAAGAAUGUGUAUUUAGAACAAGAAGAAUGUACUGAAGAAGCUGCUUUGUCUAAAAAGAGAGAAUCAAAGUCUAAAAACAUUGGACAGAGGAUAGAAUGGCCUGAAAAGAGAUGGGAAUAUGAAUGUUAA